RNAcentral lists this non-coding RNA (208 nucleotides) under Haematospirillum jordaniae. Lineage: Bacteria; Pseudomonadati; Pseudomonadota; Alphaproteobacteria; Rhodospirillales; Novispirillaceae. The record is from RNAcentral.
UUAUCGUCUUAUGGUCGAGGUUCUUCGGGAUAGCACCCGAAGCUAAGAGGGAAUCCGGUGCGUUAUCCAACAAAUCCGGAGCUGCCCCCGCAACUGUAGGCGAAGAGUAGGCCGUCACUACGUGUCACUGGGAUUAUCACAUCCCGGGAAGGCCAGACGGCCACAAGGACUCGCAAGCCAGGAGACCUGCCCCGACUUAUAACGUCCU